This 656-nucleotide ribosomal RNA is filed under the name uncultured bacterium. RNAcentral describes it as "bacterial SSU rRNA". It matches the Rfam family "Bacterial small subunit ribosomal RNA", at positions 9 to 664 of the family's 1533-position model. The record is from RNAcentral.
GAGUUUGAUCCUGGCUCAAGAUGAACGCUGGCGGCGUGCCUAACACAUGCAAGUCGAACGGGCGCGGCGUGCGGCAGGGGCCUCGGCCCCUGCGGCGCCGCGCGAGUGGCGGACGGGUGAGUAACGCGUGGGCAACCUGCCCUGUACUGGGGGAUAACACCUGGAAACAGGUGCUAAUACCGCAUAAGCGCGCUGUGCCGCAUGGCGCGGCGCGGAAAACCCCGGUGGUACAGGAUGGGCCCGCGUCUGAUUAGCUGGUUGGCAGGGUAACGGCCUACCAAGGCGACGAUCAGUAGCCGGCCUGAGAGGGUGGACGGCCACACUGGGACUGAGACACGGCCCAGACUCCUACGGGAGGCAGCAGUGGGGGAUAUUGCACAAUGGGGGGAACCCUGAUGCAGCGACGCCGCGUGGGUGAAGGAGCGUUUCGGCGCGUAAAGCCCUAUCGGCAGGGAAGAAGAUGACGGUACCUGACCAAGAAGCCCCGGCUAACUACGUGCCAGCAGCCGCGGUAAUACGUAAGGGGCAAGCGUUAUCCGGAUUUACUGGGUGUAAAGGGGGCGCAGACGGCAAUGCAAGCCAGGAGUGGAAGCCCGGGGCCCAACCCCGGGACUGCUCUUGGAACUGCAUGGCUGGGAUACAGGAAGGGCAGGCGG